CCACAGGUCUUCCCUCGCGGAUUAAAGUGAUUUGUGGCUACCGGUCUUCGCUCGUAAACACCAGAAACUAUCACCAUGCGUCACAUCGCUGCGUACCUACUCCUCCAGAUCGGCGGCAACGCCAGCCCCUCCGCCGCGGACGUCGGUAAGGUCCUCGGCGCCGUCGGCAUUGAGGCCGACGGUGAACGUCUCAGCACUCUCAUCUCCGAGCUCGAGGGCAAGGAUGUCGCCGCUCUGAUUGCUGAGGGUUCUUCCAAGCUCGCUUCCGUCCCGUCCGGUGGUGCUGUUGCUGCCUCUGGUGGUGGUGGUGGUGCGGCUGGUGCUGCCCCUGCCGCUGCUGCUGAGCCGAAGGAGGAGAAGAAGGAGGAAGAGAAGG
This 376-nucleotide unclassified non-coding RNA is filed under the name Hevea brasiliensis (rubber tree). The record is from RNAcentral. Lineage: Eukaryota; Viridiplantae; Streptophyta; Magnoliopsida; Malpighiales; Euphorbiaceae.